UCUUAACUAUUUUUUUUUUUUUUUGGUUUU
Molecule: small RNA, 30 nt
Filed under: Arabidopsis thaliana (thale cress)
Lineage: Eukaryota; Viridiplantae; Streptophyta; Magnoliopsida; Brassicales; Brassicaceae
Description: ATSL137610
Source: RNAcentral